GUCCACGCCGUAAACGAUGAGUACUAGCUGUUCGUGGUAUCGACGCCUCGAGUAGCGAAGCUAACGCGUUAAGUACUCCGCCUGGGGACUACGACCGCAAGGUUAAAACUCAAAGGAAUUGACGGGGGCCCGCACAAGCAGCGGAGCGUGUGGUUUAAUUCGAAGCAACGCGAAGAACCUUACCAGGGCUUGACAUGUUCUGGACCGCUGAUGAAAGUCAGUUUCCCUUCGGGGCCGGAUCAC
This 243-nucleotide ribosomal RNA is filed under the name uncultured bacterium. RNAcentral describes it as "partial 16S ribosomal RNA". It matches the Rfam family "Bacterial small subunit ribosomal RNA", at positions 793 to 1035 of the family's 1533-position model. The record is from RNAcentral.